AACGAACGCUGGCGGCAUGCCUAACACAUGCAAGUCGAACGAGACCUUCGGGUCUAGUGGCGCACGGGUGCGUAACGCGUGGGAACCUGCCCUUAGGUUCGGAAUAACUCCCCGAAAGGGGUGCUAAUACCGGAUAAUGUCUUCGGACCAAAGAUUUAUCGCCUUUGGAUGGGCCCGCGUUGGAUUAGCGAGUUGGUAGGGUAAAAGCCUACCAAGGCGACGAUCCAUAGCUGGUCUGAGAGGAUGAUCAGCCACACUGGGAAUGAGACACGGCCCAGACUCCUACGGGAGGGAGCAGUGGGGAAUAUUGGACAAGGGGCGAAAGCCUGAUCCAGCAAUGCCGCGUGAGUGAUGAAGGCCUUAGGGUUGUAAAGCUCUUUUAGCCGGGAUGAUAAUGACAGUACCGGGAGAAUAAGCUCCGGCUAACUCCGUG
Molecule: ribosomal RNA, 433 nt
Filed under: uncultured bacterium
Lineage: Bacteria
Description: partial 16S ribosomal RNA
Rfam family: Bacterial small subunit ribosomal RNA
Source: RNAcentral